UACGAAGGGUGCGAGCGUUGUUCGGAAUUACUGGGCGUAAAGGGUUCGUAGGCGGGAAGACAAGUUGGAUGUGAAAACUCCGGGCUCAACUCGGAACGUGCAUCCAAAACUGUUUUUCUUGAGUGUCGGAGAGGGGAGUGGAAUUGCUGGUGUAGGAGUGACAUCCGUAGAGAUCAGCAGGAACACCGGAGGCGAAAGCGACUCCCUGGCCGAACACUGACGCUGAGGAACGAAAGCGUGGGGAGCAAACAGG
This 253-nucleotide ribosomal RNA is filed under the name uncultured organism. RNAcentral describes it as "partial 16S ribosomal RNA". It matches the Rfam family "Bacterial small subunit ribosomal RNA", at positions 524 to 776 of the family's 1533-position model. The record is from RNAcentral.